RNAcentral lists this ribosomal RNA (706 nucleotides) under Acarospora obpallens. RNAcentral describes it as "partial large subunit ribosomal RNA". It matches the Rfam family "Eukaryotic large subunit ribosomal RNA", at positions 192 to 916 of the family's 3401-position model. The record is from RNAcentral. Lineage: Eukaryota; Fungi; Ascomycota; Lecanoromycetes; Acarosporales; Acarosporaceae.
GGAACAGGACGUCAUAGAGGGUGAGAAUCCCGUAUGUGACCGGUCACCGCGCCCGUGUGAAGCUCCUUCGACGAGUCGAGUUGUUUGGGAAUGCAGCUCAAAAUGGGUGGUAAAUUUCAUCUAAAGCUAAAUAUUGGCCAGAGACCGAUAGCGCACAAGUAGAGUGAUCGAAAGAUGAAAAGCACUUUGGAAAGAGAGUCAAACAGUACGUGAAAUUGUUGAAAGGGAAGCGCUUGCAACCAGACUUGCCCGCGGGUGAUCAGCCGGUAUUCUUACCGGUGCACUCGCCUGUGGUCAGGCCAGCAUCGGUUUGGGCGGCUGGAUAAAGGCCACCGGAAUGUAGCUCCUCUCGGGGAGUGUUAUAGCCGGAGGUGCCAUGCAGCCCGCCCGGACCGAGGACCGCGCUUCGGCUAGGAUGCUGGCGUAAUGGUUGUAAGCGACCCGUCUUGAAACACGGACCAAGGAGUCUAACAUCUAUGCGAGUGUUUGGGUGUCAAACCCAUGCGCGUAAUGAAAGUGAACGGAGGUGGGAACCCUGAAGGGUGCACCAUCGACCGAUCCUGAUGUCUUCGGAUGGAUUUGAGUAAGAGCAUAGCUGUUGGGACCCGAAAGAUGGUGAACUAUGCCUGAAUAGGGUGAAGCCAGAGGAAACUCUGGUGGAGGCUCGCAGCGGUUCUGACGUGCAAAUCGAUCGUCAAAUUUGGGU